UGGGGAAUAUUGGACAAUGGGCGAAAGCCUGAUCCAGCCAUGCCGCGUGUGUGAAGAAGGUCUUAGGAUCGUAAAGCACUUUAAGUUGGGAGGAAGGGCAGUAAAUUAAUACUUUGCUGUUUUGACGUUACCGACAGAAUAAGCACCGGCUAACUCUGUGCCAGCAGCCGCGGUAAUACAGAGGGUGCAAGCGUUAAUCGGAAUUACUGGGCGUAAAGCGCGCGUAGGUGGUUCGUUAAGUUGGAUGUGAAAUCCCCGGGCUCAACCUGGGAACUGCAUUCAAAACUGUCGAGCUAGAGUAUGGUAGAGGGUGGUGGAAUUUCCUGUGUAGCGGUGAAAUGCGUAGAUAUAGGAAGGAACACCAGUGGCGAAGGCGACCACCUGGACUGAUACUGACACUGAGGUGCGAAAGCGUGGGGAGCAAACAGGAUUAGAUACCCUUGUAGUCCUGAGCGGGCUGGCAAGGCGCAU
Molecule: ribosomal RNA, 471 nt
Filed under: uncultured bacterium
Lineage: Bacteria
Description: bacterial SSU rRNA
Rfam family: Bacterial small subunit ribosomal RNA
Source: RNAcentral